This 253-nucleotide ribosomal RNA is filed under the name uncultured bacterium. RNAcentral describes it as "partial 16S ribosomal RNA". It matches the Rfam family "Bacterial small subunit ribosomal RNA", at positions 524 to 776 of the family's 1533-position model. The record is from RNAcentral.
UACGGAAGGGGCUAGCGUUGUUCGGAAUUACUGGGCGUAAAGCGCGCGUAGGCGGCUUACCAAGUUGGGGGUGAAAUCCCGGGGCUCAACCCCGGAACGGCCUUCGAAACUGGUAAGCUUGAGGCCGGGAGAGGGGAGUGGAAUUCCGAGUGUAGAGGUGAAAUUCGUAGAUAUUGGGAGGAACACCGGUGGCGAAGGCGGCGCACUGGCCCGAUACUGACGCUGAGGUGCGACAGCGUGGGGAGCAAACAGG